GAUGAACGCUAGCGAUAGGCCUAACACAUGCAAGUCGAGGGGCAGCAUAGAGUAGCAAUACUUUGAUGGCGACCGGCGCACGGGUGAGUAACACGUAUGCAACCUACCUACAUCAGGGGAAUAACCCGGAGAAAUUCGGACUAAUACCGCAUAAUACAGGGAUGCCGCAUGGCAAUAUUUGUUAAAGAUUUAUCGGAUGUAGAUGGGCAUGCGUUCCAUUAGCUAGUUGGUGAGGUAACGGCUCACCAAGGCAACGAUGGAUAGGGGAACUGGGAGGGUUGUCCCACACACUGGAACUGAGGCACGGACCAGACACCAACGGGAGGCAGCAGUGAGUAAUAUUGGUCAAUGGACGAGAGUCUGAACCAGCCAAAUCGCGUGAAGGAAGACUGCUCUACGGGUUGUAAACUUCUUUUGUACAGGAAUAAAAGACAGUGCGUGUAUGUAUUGCAUGUGCUGUACGAAUAGACAUCGGCUAACUACGUGCCAGCAGCCGCCGUAA
RNAcentral lists this ribosomal RNA (502 nucleotides) under uncultured bacterium. Its description in RNAcentral is "partial 16S ribosomal RNA". It matches the Rfam family "Bacterial small subunit ribosomal RNA", at positions 28 to 523 of the family's 1533-position model. The record is from RNAcentral.